UUUUAAUUAAACAUAAAAAAUAAAUAAAAAUCACAGGAGCGAUAUUAUUAAAAUGUAACGACAUGGGUCGAUUGUGCUGGUCGGUAGGCACAUUUUGAUACGGGUGAAAUAUUGCUGCGCGCUCGUUUGAAUUUCUAUUUAUUUUUUGUGUGUGUGACGGCUGUGUGGGGAGACGAGGAGCCGAGCCUGUUGGCGCCACUUUCAAAUCCUCCACUGACACAGAAUGAGAGUCCGGCUCAAAUACAUUUUCCCACCAGCUUACUUCUCCUUUUAAUCAUUAAUAUAGGGUGAGGAAUAUCUUAACACAAUUUCACGUUUGGACCGUUUUUUCCCUGAAAGCAUCCAAAGUGAGGGGAGAAAGAUGGGCCUGGAGGUAACUGGUGUUCUUAGUGCCUCCAUCAGUUGCAAAUGAUCUCAGCAGCAGACGGUAAGUGAAUCUUUAUUUUCUUUUCUUCCUGGACCCUUUAAAAUGGCCUCUGUUGCUGUUAAUAGAACGAGAGCCUCUCUCAGCUCUGCGUUGCCUCUUUCUUCUUCUUUUCUCUCCACUACAGUAAAGUUGUGCUCUUUUUGCCUUCUCUCCCUCACCCCUCCUUUGUCUCUCUCUCUCUCUCUGUGUUUUUUCCUUGAUGAGGCUGGCGGUUUGGGGCUGAAUGUAACGCGUGUCUGUUUGCUGCUCUCCUUGCUGACAUGACCUCUUGUUCUUGAAUCCAAUCAGCUUCCAUCACAUCGACUGUGUGGCUGCGUGAAGCUGCAUUCACAGCUUUAACCACUUCAUGCCAUCUAGACUUGUCUCAAAUGUUUAUAUUCUUGAUCAGAAUUUUUUGGAAGUGUACCUGAUUUUGUGUUAUUUACUUUGUGGCUGACAGUCAGGUGUGGUGAUCACGGGCCAUGAAUCCUUCCUCUCCUGGCCUCAAAUGUUGUUUCAGCUUUGCAGUAGACAAAGGCAGCAGGUUUGGAGUCACAUUAUACAUCUAAUUUACACUGUAUCUAUUGCAUGUCAUUGUGGAAAAAACUGUUAAUUCAUUGACCAUUCUAAUUAGAUAAUUGAUACAUGUUUGGGCAACAACAAUUUGGUUUAAGUCUCUUAAAUAUGAGCAUUGAACUGUCUUAUAUCAUUCAAAAUUAAACAUGUUUGGAUUUUUGCCCACUGGUUCGACCAAACACGCAUUUAAAAACAUUGCUUUAGGAAUUCUGCAUUAUUUUGUUGAUAUCUUGAGAAUAAUUGAGUUAAUCAAGACAUGUGCAGAUGAAUUUCUAAUAUAACCAAAGGUUAGUUGCAGCCCAACUAAUGCUAUUUAUAGUCAAGUUUGAUGUUGAAAUGAGCUAUUCAUGUCAAACGAUAGAAAAUAUCACUAUUUUUAUUGAUGUCAUUUGUCAAGUAAAAAUGUUACAUUUGGCUAUGUCUGACAAAAAGUCAUUAUAUAAAUAAACAAACAUUGUUAUUUUUGUCUGUCCCUUAAACCAGAUAUGGUAGACUAGAUUUAUGUUUUUUUUUUAUAUAUUCCCUUUUAAAUUAUCCGACUUCAUUUGUCAAGUACUCUAAAGCAGACUCUGGAAUUUGAUCUAUUAACCAUUUCUCAAUUGAUUUCCCAGAAAUUGUAUGAUAUUACGAUAUACCUAUGAAAUGUAAAUAAAUUAAAAGAAUAUGAAAGACUAUUUUACCUGUACAGUAAAAAAACAACAGCUUUAUUUCACACAGCCGGGCUCCAUUCUGCUGUGAAGCUCUUUAUUGGCCCCCAGACGGCUCCGCUCUAUGAGAGAAGCUCUUGGACUGUGUGGUGGAGCUGCUGCAUUCUGCACUCGUGGCUCAGCUCUGCUUUUCCCUUAAUGUGCCUUUAAAAUGACUGCUUGUGGAGCCCCUUUGCUUCAAAAUCAAAUUUAUAUAUAGGCCUUUUAUAUUUUUGGAUACUUUUAUUCAUUCAUUUACAUUUAUCACAUAAUAAUGUGAUGUUUUUUUUUUUUCUUUAUUUCAUGUUAAUAGAAUCUAUUUUAUCCAAUGAAACCAUACCUUAAAAGACGUCACUCUGGUGGCCACUUU
Molecule: long non-coding RNA, 2038 nt
Organism: Gasterosteus aculeatus aculeatus (three-spined stickleback)
Lineage: Eukaryota; Metazoa; Chordata; Actinopteri; Perciformes; Gasterosteidae
Source: Ensembl